Molecule: small nucleolar RNA, 87 nt
Filed under: Zea mays
Lineage: Eukaryota; Viridiplantae; Streptophyta; Magnoliopsida; Poales; Poaceae
Description: Small nucleolar RNA snoR109
Rfam family: Small nucleolar RNA snoR109
Source: Rfam by way of RNAcentral
CGGCUGUAGCCAAAUUAACGAGGAAGAAAAACUGGUCGGCUUGCCCUCUAUUCAAUGGGCUAUCCGCUUACCGACCUUCCUAUAAUC